Molecule: transfer RNA, 74 nt
Filed under: Trichonephila inaurata madagascariensis
Lineage: Eukaryota; Metazoa; Arthropoda; Arachnida; Araneae; Nephilidae
Description: tRNA-Thr
Rfam family: tRNA
About the family: Transfer RNA (tRNA) molecules are approximately 80 nucleotides in length. Their secondary structure includes four short double-helical elements and three loops (D, anti-codon, and T loops).
Source: RNAcentral
GCCAAGCCAGUAUGGUGAAUAUGACCCUCGGCUUGUAACCGAGAGGGUUCGGGUUUGAAUCCCGAGUAAAGGCA